RNAcentral lists this ribosomal RNA (256 nucleotides) under uncultured bacterium. RNAcentral describes it as "partial 16S ribosomal RNA". It matches the Rfam family "Bacterial small subunit ribosomal RNA", at positions 524 to 776 of the family's 1533-position model. The record is from RNAcentral.
UACGAAGGGGGCUAGCGUUGUUCGGAAUUACUGGGCGUAAAGCGCACGUAGGCGGAUACUUAAGUCAGGGGUGAAAUCCCGGGGCUCAACCCCGGAACUGCCUUUGAUACUGGGUAUCUCGAGUCCGGAAGAGGUGAGUGGGAAUUCCGAGUGUAGAGGUGAAAUUCGUAGAUAUUCGGAGGAACACCGAGUGGCGAAGGCGGCUCACUGGUCCGGUACUGGACGCUGAGGUGCGAAAGCGUGGGGAGCAAACAGG